RNAcentral lists this transfer RNA (74 nucleotides) under Alosa alosa (allis shad). RNAcentral describes it as "tRNA-OTHER". Lineage: Eukaryota; Metazoa; Chordata; Actinopteri; Clupeiformes; Clupeidae. The record is from RNAcentral.
CCAGCCGUGGCCUACUGGUUAGGACAUCCGGCUUGUAACCGAAGGGUUGCUGGUUUGAUUCCUGAGCAGUGGGC